Molecule: ribosomal RNA, 449 nt
Filed under: uncultured bacterium
Lineage: Bacteria
Description: bacterial SSU rRNA
Rfam family: Bacterial small subunit ribosomal RNA
Source: RNAcentral
UACCAGACUCCUACGGGGGGCAGCAGUGGGGGAUAUUGCACAAUGGGGGAAACCCUGAUGCAGCGACGCCGCGUGUGGGAAGACGGUCCUCUGGAUUGUAAACCACUGUCCCCAGGGACGAAGAUGACGGUACCUGGGGAGGAACCUCCGGCUAACUACGUGCCAGCAGCCGCGGUAAUACGUAGGGAGCGAGCGUUGUCCGGAAUUACUGGGUGUGAAGGGAGCGUAGGCGGGACGGCAAGUUGGGUGUGAAAUCUGCCGGCUCAACCGGUAGCCGCGCUCAAAAGUGCGGUUCUGGAGUGAAGUAGAGGCAGGCGGAAUUCCUAGUGUAGCGGUGAAAUGCGUAGAUAUUAGGAGGAACACCAGUGGGGAAGGCGGCCUGCUGGGCUUUUACUGACGCUGAGGCUCGAAAGUGUGGGGAGCAAACAGGAUUAGAUACCCCAGUACUA